This 392-nucleotide ribosomal RNA is filed under the name uncultured Gammaproteobacteria bacterium. RNAcentral describes it as "bacterial SSU rRNA". It matches the Rfam family "Bacterial small subunit ribosomal RNA", at positions 370 to 779 of the family's 1533-position model. The record is from RNAcentral. Lineage: Bacteria; Pseudomonadati; Pseudomonadota; Gammaproteobacteria.
AAUGGGCGCAAGCCUGAUCCAGCCAUGCCGCGUGAGUGAUGAAGGCCCUAGGGUCGUAAAGCUCUUUCGCCUGUGAAGAUAAUGACGGUAGCAGGUAAAGAAACCCCGGCUAACUCCGUGCCAGCAGCCGCGGUAAUACGGAGGGGGUUAGCGUUGUUCGGAAUUACUGGGCGUAAAGCGCGCGUAGGCGGACUAUUAAGUCAGAGGUGAAAUCCCGGGGCUCAACUCCGGAACUGCCUUUGAUACUGGUAGUCUUGAGUUCGAGAGAGGUAAGUGGAAUUCCGAGUGUAGAGGUGAAAUUCGUAGAUAUUCGGAGGAACACCAGUGGCGAAGGCGGCUUACUGGCUCGAUACUGACGCUGAGGUGCGAAAGUGUGGGGAGCAAACAGGAUU